RNAcentral lists this ribosomal RNA (283 nucleotides) under uncultured Bacteroidota bacterium. Its description in RNAcentral is "uncultured Bacteroidetes bacterium partial 16S ribosomal RNA". It matches the Rfam family "Bacterial small subunit ribosomal RNA", at positions 28 to 310 of the family's 1533-position model. Lineage: Bacteria; Pseudomonadati; Bacteroidota. The record is from RNAcentral.
GAUGAACGCUAGCGGCAGGCCUAACACAUGCAAGUCGAGGGGUAACAGGGUAGCAAUAUCGCUGACGACCGGCGCACGGGUGAGUAACGCGUAUGCAACCUUCCUUUAACUGGGGGAUAGCCCGGAGAAAUUCGGAUUAAUACCCCAUAACAUUGCGGAGAGGCAUCUUUCUGCAAUUAAAGCUCCGGCGGUUAAAGAUGGGCAUGCGUGCCAUUAGCUAGUUGGUGAGGUAACUGCUCACCAAGGCUACGAUGGCUAGGGGGUCUGAGAGGAUGAUCCCCCA